CCUACGGGUGGCAGCAGUGAGGAAUAUUGGUCAAUGGGCGUAAGCCUGAAUCAGCCAAGUCGCGUGAGGGAUGAAGGUUCUCUGGAUCGUAAACCUCUUUUAUAAGGGAAUAAAGUGUGGGACGUGUCCUAUUUUGUAUGUACCUUAUGAAUAAGGAGCGGCUAACUCCGUGCCAGCAGCCGCGGUAAUACGGAGGAUCCGAGCGUUAUCCGGAUUUAUUGGGUUUAAGGGGUUCGUAGGCGGGCUUUUAAGUCAGCGGUGAAAGUCUGUGGCUCAACCAUAGAAUUGCCGUUGAAACUGGGGGGCUUGAGUAUGUGUGAGGCAGGCGGAAUGCGUGGUGUAGCGGUGAAAUGCUUAGAUAUCAAGAAGAACCCCGAUUGCGAAGGCAGCCUGCCAGGCCAUGACUGACGCUGAUGCACGAAAGCGUGGGGAUCAAACAGGAUUAGAUACCCUGGUAGUC
Molecule: ribosomal RNA, 460 nt
Filed under: uncultured bacterium
Lineage: Bacteria
Description: partial 16S ribosomal RNA
Rfam family: Bacterial small subunit ribosomal RNA
Source: RNAcentral